This 585-nucleotide long non-coding RNA is filed under the name Elaeis guineensis (African oil palm). RNAcentral describes it as "long non-coding RNA (EGUI_LNC060482)". Lineage: Eukaryota; Viridiplantae; Streptophyta; Magnoliopsida; Arecales; Arecaceae. The record is from RNAcentral.
GCUUGUGUAGGAUAACUAUAUAUUUCUUCAUAUAUAUAUAUAUAAAGUUUUCAAGUACUUCAUGCUGAGUAACUGAACUUCUUUGUCUAAGCAAGCAUUGAGUUUCACGUCAAAAGAUAUGAAGAAAAAAAAAGCUUUGUUGUAAAGCUAGUUUUAAUUCGUAGCCUGUUUGAUUCGAACAAGUAAGUCCGAGGGGUAUUCUAUACCUAGUGCCCUAAAAUCAUCUGGUUCGAAAGACAUUGACUAAAAACUCGCUACAUGGGUCAAACAGAAAGCUUAAGGGGUUAAGAUAUUCAAUAGCGGUAUAAUAUUAAAAAAAAUCUAAACAUUGAUCUCACAUCAAGUAACUGAGCCCCUUCGCCUAAAUAAGUGUUGUGGUUUGUGUCAAAAAGUGGACAAUGUGAAGAUAAUUUUUUAUAAUAAAUGAAGGAUGAAAGUAAUAAUAUACUUAUCCAUAUGAAGGUUAAUAAUUUGGAGAUAAAAGUAGGAGUAAUUUAGAAAAAGUUCAGAAAAAAUUUAGUGUUCUUAGUUUAACUUCCACAUUGAUUAGUAUUAAUACUCCAAUGACAUACCUCACUCAUGCUC